UGUGAAGAAGAAGAGGCAAGAACGACCCCCAGACCGACCAAAGCCCGCAUGCCGCUCCAUCCCUGCGUCCAACACCUUAAUUCCGCUGCCAUCACCACCAUGCCCAAGAGAAAGGCUGAGGGGGAUGCUAAAGGAGAUAAAGCCAAGGUGACGGACGAACCCCAGAGAAGAUCUGCAAGGUUGUCUGCUAAACCUGCUCCUCCAAAGCCAGAGCCCAAGACUAAGAAGGCCCCAGCUAAGAAGGGAGAGAAGGUACUCAAAGGGAAAAAGGGAAAAGCCGAUGCUGGCAAGGAGGGGGAUAACCCUGCAGAAAAUGGAGAUACCAAAACAGACCAGGAACAGAAAGCUGAAGGUGCUGGAGAUGCCAAGUGAAGUGUGUGCAUUUUUGAUAACUGUGUACUUUUGGUGACUGUACAGUUUGAAAUACUAUUUUUUAUCAAGUUUUAUAAAAAUGCAGAAUUUUUUUUUUUUGAGCUAUGUUGUUAGCACACAGAACACUUCAUUGUUGUUUUGGGGGAAAGGGGCAUAUGUCACUAAUAGAAUGUCUCCAAAGCUGGACUGAUGUGGGGAAAACACCUUUCCCUUCUAGUUUUAAGA
This is an RNA transcript of Carlito syrichta (Philippine tarsier), 597 nucleotides long. It is a transcript of the gene named non-histone chromosomal protein HMG-17 pseudogene, with no coding region annotated. Lineage: Eukaryota; Metazoa; Chordata; Mammalia; Primates; Tarsiidae. The record is from RefSeq and is a predicted model, not a curated record. The transcript has a single exon.